GACGAAGGGGGCUAGCGUUGUUCGGAAUUACUGGGCGUAAAGCGCGUGUAGGCGGUUGUCCAAGUUGGAUGUGAAAGCCUUGAGCUCAACUCAAGAAAUGCAUUCAGGACUGGAUGACUAGAGGACCGGAGAGGAUAGUGGAAUUCCCAGUGUAGUGGUGAAAUACGUAGAGAUCGGGAGGAACACCGGUGGCGAAGGCGGCCUUCUGGACGGUGACUGACGCUGAGGCGCGAAAGCGUGGGGAGCAAACGGG
This 253-nucleotide ribosomal RNA is filed under the name uncultured bacterium. RNAcentral's name for it is "partial 16S ribosomal RNA". It matches the Rfam family "Bacterial small subunit ribosomal RNA", at positions 524 to 776 of the family's 1533-position model. The record is from RNAcentral.